This 483-nucleotide ribosomal RNA is filed under the name uncultured bacterium. RNAcentral's name for it is "partial 16S ribosomal RNA". It matches the Rfam family "Bacterial small subunit ribosomal RNA", at positions 28 to 507 of the family's 1533-position model. The record is from RNAcentral.
GACGAACGCUGGCGGCGUGCUUAACACAUGCAAGUCGAACGCUGAAGCUCAGCUUUUGUUGGGUGGAUGAGUGGCGAACGGGUGAGUAACACGUGAGUAACCUGCCUCCUUCUUUGGGAUAACGCCCGGAAACGGGUGCUAAUACUGGAUAUUCACUGGUCUUCGCAUGGGGGUUGGUGGAAAGGGUUUUUCUGGUGGGGGAUGGGCUCGCGGCCUAUCAGCUUGUUGGUGGGGUGAUGGCCUACCAAGGCUUUGACGGGUAGCCGGCCUGAGAGGGUGACCGGUCAGAUUGGGCGUGAGAUACGGCCCAGACUCGUACGGGAGGCAGCAGUGGGGAAUAUUGCACAAUGGGCGCAAGCCUGAUGCAGCGACGCGGCGUGAGGGAUGGGGGCCUUCGGGUUGUGAACCUCUUUCGCUCAUGGUCAAGCCGCAACAAUGGUUGUGGUGAGGGUAGUGGGUAAAGAAGCGCCGGCUAACUACGUG